GCCCAGAGGGAUAGCUCAGUCGGUAGAGCAUAAGACUCUUAAUCUCAAGGUUGUGGGUUUGAGUCUCACAUUGGGUG
Molecule: transfer RNA, 77 nt
Filed under: Podarcis lilfordi (Lilford's wall lizard)
Lineage: Eukaryota; Metazoa; Chordata; Lepidosauria; Squamata; Lacertidae
Description: tRNA.Lys
Rfam family: tRNA (bases 12-69)
About the family: Transfer RNA (tRNA) molecules are approximately 80 nucleotides in length. Their secondary structure includes four short double-helical elements and three loops (D, anti-codon, and T loops). Further hydrogen bonds mediate the characteristic L-shaped molecular structure. tRNAs have two regions of fundamental functional importance: the anti-codon, which is responsible for specific mRNA codon recognition, and the 3' end, to which the tRNAs corresponding amino acid is attached (by aminoacyl-tRNA synthetases). tRNAs cope with the degeneracy of the genetic code in two manners: having more than one tRNA (with a specific anti-codon) for a particular amino acid; and 'wobble' base-pairing, i.e. permitting non-standard base-pairing at the 3rd anti-codon position.
Source: RNAcentral